Molecule: ribosomal RNA, 403 nt
Filed under: uncultured Eubacteriales bacterium
Lineage: Bacteria; Bacillati; Bacillota; Clostridia; Eubacteriales
Description: bacterial SSU rRNA
Rfam family: Bacterial small subunit ribosomal RNA
Source: RNAcentral
AAAGUCUGAUGGAGCAACGCCGGGUGAGUGAUGAAGGUUUUCGGAUCGUAAAACUCUGUUGUAAGGGAAGAACCAGUACGUCAGGCAAUGGACGAUAAUGACGGUACCGGAAGAGGAAGCCACGGCUAACUACGUGCCAGCAGCCGCGGUAAUACGUAGGUGGCGAGCGUUGUCCGGAAUUACUGGGCGUAAAGGGUGUGCAGGCGGAUAUUUAAGUGAGAUGUGAAAGACCCGGGCUUAACCCGGGCAGUGAAUUUCAAACUGGAUAUCUAGAGUGCAGGAGAGGAGAAUGGAAUUCCUAGUGUAGCGGUGAAAUGCGUAGAGAUUAGGAAGAACACCAGUGGCGAAGGCGAUUCUCUGGACUGUAACUGACGCUGAGGCACGAAAGCGUGGGUAGCAAACA